CGAAUGUGAUUUCGCGUGUGUAGAUGUAGCCGGCGCAGAUGCAUCUUGCAGGAUUUUACAAGUCAGAAAAUGAUAAAAUUUUUGAAAUGUAUCACUUUAUUAUUCUAUUUAAUGAUAAAUUUUUACAAUAAAAUAAAGCUAAAAUUUAUAGGAUAGUAAAGUAAAAUAAGCUAGCCACAGGGGUCUUUUUUGAAGUUUAUUCUAAAGUUUAAUAUUUGAAGUGGAGCUUUGUAAAUGGGAAGGAAGUUAAGAGUAGAAGAUAUAAUAAAGGUGGAAAAUAAGUUAAAUUUGAUAAAAUAGUUUCUCACCAUAAAAUUAUUUAGAAAUGUAAAUUGUUAAUUAAGAGGAAUGCUUCAAUACACCAUAAAUAUUAAAAUCUAACUCUUAAUUAGUAAAUGAUAUAGUUGGGUUUUACAUGAAAUAACCUGUUGAAUAGGUUACUGAUUUAAAUUAGUUAAUAUGACAACAUUUUUUUAAAAAAAAUAGUAGUAUAUACUAAAUUUGUCAGCAUUCUAUAAAUAUUAAAUAUCUUAUUUACUUUUGUUACUUACCAAAUUAGAUAAUACCUAAUUUGUUAAGUAUCCAGCUCAAAAAAAUAU
Molecule: long non-coding RNA, 599 nt
Filed under: Ananas comosus (pineapple)
Lineage: Eukaryota; Viridiplantae; Streptophyta; Magnoliopsida; Poales; Bromeliaceae
Description: long non-coding RNA (ACOM_LNC033904)
Source: RNAcentral